ACCAGCAGCCAUAUCACCCUGCAACUCACAACUGGCAGCCCACUGAAGCUAAGCAGGUAUGGGCCUAGUCAGUACCUGGAUGGGAGACCUCCUGGGAAAAACUAAGGUUGCUACUGGAA
Molecule: ribosomal RNA, 119 nt
Filed under: Lepisosteus oculatus (spotted gar)
Lineage: Eukaryota; Metazoa; Chordata; Actinopteri; Semionotiformes; Lepisosteidae
Source: RNAcentral